Non-coding RNA from Phrynosoma platyrhinos (Desert horned lizard), 72 nucleotides. NCBI's taxonomy places the organism in Eukaryota, Metazoa, Chordata, Lepidosauria, Squamata, Phrynosomatidae. The record is from the annotation of a GenBank genome assembly.
GAAGUAGUGGCAUAAUGGUUUGAGUGUUGGACUACAACUCUGGAGACCAGGGUUUGAAUCCCAGCUCAGCCG